Molecule: non-coding RNA, 4473 nt
Organism: Anas platyrhynchos (mallard)
Lineage: Eukaryota; Metazoa; Chordata; Aves; Anseriformes; Anatidae
Source: RefSeq, a predicted model, not a curated record
GAUCCUUGCUUACAAAGAACAGAGAUGGAUAGUCUUUGUCACUGCCUCUCUGCCAGCAAGGAAAAGAAAAAUAAUGCUUCCUUCCCCCCUUGCAAUGCUAACAACUCCAAGUCUGUGCAUUCAGCAGCAGGCAAGACUUGGAACCAAGCUACCUCGAGGGGUUCCCUGCAGAUCCCAGACACCAGUUCGGUGCCCAGGAGAGCGUCAAACAGCUCCGGUUUGAAAUCAAAACGCGAUUGCGGUGGUUGUGUUGUCAUCGUCCCCGUUCCGCCGCUGUGGUCUUUGCGAGGAGGAGGCGUCUUUGGGGAGCGGGUCCAGCUCGGCUCGUUGCUAUGGCAAAGUCUCUGCUGAUGCCUGCUCUCCGCCUGUAAUUGCUAUUCAGCAGCUGCUUCCAGUGGUCGUCUGGAGGAACUCGCACAAGUUAGGGCUGUGAAAAUCCCUCCCCGUACGUUGGCCUUCGCUGGAACCGAGCUUUGACAAGAGAGAUGCAUUAGCUUCCAAACUCGCCAGUAAUUAGGUUGGUUUGAGUGUACUUUGCUGAAAGUUAAGGCUCUGGAGCUGGGAGAGGAGGGUGGAGGGGGAAGGAGCAACUUUAAAAUCAAUAUUGCAAAUGCAAUGCAAAAGAGUGUAAUUAGCAUGUUUUGCAGGGCCUAUUAAUUCCUCUGAAAUGCUGUUUAUUAGGCAAAAGAACUUGGGAGCCCAUCAGUGGAUUAAACAGGUUCUGUAAUGAAAUGUAAAUGGUGUAAUUGGGCUUGUUCUGAAAGUAUUUAUUCUUCACCUGUGACCCGCUUGAUUGCGGUUUGACAACACGAAGGAGUGUGCAUCUCUUCGUUAAUGACAGCUAAUUCCCUGGAGCUAAUGGAGUGGGACGCCCAGGCGCAUGGCGCUGGGAACGGCAGGUCGUGCCUGGAGCUCCGCAGUGAUUGGCACCAAUCCGAGCACAAUGUAACUUUAAUUACAGUAAUUCCAAAUCCAAAGCAAGCAUUUAGCUGCCGGAGAGAGGCUCUUAAUUUUGCAAAUAGAUGCCGUAUAAUGCGCUGACCUUUUAUUAGACAAAUAUUGGGAUGGGUGGGAACGCUGUCCUCCAGGAUGCAGGUAACGUUAUUGGCUCCCAUUAGCUCAGUGGAAAUCAGAGGCACGUUCUCGCUGCCAGGUUAGCCAUAUGGAUCUCCUUCAACAUGCAACCUCGUGGAGCCAGGAGGGAAAUGUGGUGCUGUAUGUUAUUUAACUGCAGUCUCUGCAUCAAAGCAUGAAAUUCGUCUGCUGCUCCUCUGCCUUAUGUGUGUGCUUUUGGCUGGGUAGGCCACUGGGAUUUUUUUUUGUAUGCGUUGUUUUCCCUUUUUACAAAUCCUCUUUAUCCAAACUGUGCAGUGCUAAAUAUCUCCAGGCACGCAGCAAAGGUCACGCAGCAUUCCUGGAGGAAGAGAACAAAACACUUGGUUUUGUCUGGUGUUAUGGCAUUAAGGUGUUUGGUAACACCUUUCCAUAGGGUCGAGAUGUCUGAGCACAGCCACGUGUCCCUUCACUCACAGAGGAGAAGAGCUGCCAGUGCGGAGCCCUGGUGUUCUUCUGGGAGGGAGAGCUGCUCAGCGCACACCAGCAGGGACCGGCUGUCCCCCCGUUCUCCUCCUGAAACCACAAGCCUCCGCCUUUGCCUCCUGUUAGCUCAGACUUUCUCUUAGCCAGGAGUCUUGUUCAAGUUGGAAUGAGCCGGGCAGGGAAGCUUUCACCCAGGCAAUGUCCAGGUCUGUGCGGAUGGGUUUGGAACAGGCCCCCAGGGAGCUGCUGUGGGCUGUCAGCUUAGUGUUUGGAGCAGAAGCGAUACAAUUUCUGCAUGUAAUGCCUUUCUUUUCUGCUUCAUUAUUCUUGCUCCACUGCCUCUUUCUAUCUAAGAGCUGCAAGGCAGAGAUGUAGGAGUGGAAGCGUGGUCAGAGGUCUCUGUGUCACGCUGAUCUCGGGCUUCUCCCCUGAGUGGGGACAUGCUGGGAAGAAGGCAGAGUGGGAGGCAGCUGUUGGCUGGGGGGAACGCAGCACGACUGGUCGACAUUCAGCCACCUGAACAAAUGGAUGAGAAUCAUCAAGCAGGGAAUACAUAAAGGAUGUUAGAGAGAAUGAGAAACGAGGGGUGUUUGAUGCUACUGUGGAGCAGCGGCCAACGCGAGGCAGUUGGCUGAACCCCGUCCAGCAGAGAGAUGAGAAGAGUGGCAAAUGGGAGGGAGCAUCCUAGCGAGGCCAGGCACGUCGCUGCUUCCCAGCAGAUGGCUUUCCAUGCACACUGCCUAAUCCCGACAGAAAUAACACCUUCUCUGGAUGCUCUCGUGCUCCUGUUCGUGUACAGCGGUCUUUUUGCUCUGGAUUUGGGCUUUGUGGAGAGCCAGGCCGUUGGCACACAACGGGAGAAGAGCACAGCAGAGGCAGAGCAGCCUCUGGCUAGAGCGUGGCUGCAUCGAGCAGGGUCUCCUGCUGUUAAAUGAGUCCUGCUCCCCAGCCCCUCUCCCUAAAGCACAGAAGACGCAGCUCUCCUGGGAGUCUUGGUGGGAAGUGAUAGAUGGAGGGGCCGUGUUAGCACUGCAAAAGAGAUUUCCUUGGCAAACAAGAGCAAAAAUAAGUAUGGGCAUUGUUAGAAAAAUCAGAAACCUUCAGGCUUGUCUACCUCUUUCCCCUCACCUUUGCAAAUGUGCCAGUCAGUCCCUGAUGAUGAUUCCUCUUGCUCCUGGCCCAUCGCGACUGCAUGGCCUCUCCUAGCCCUUGCUGCUCAGUCUGUUCCCAGCCAGUCCCCAAAGCCUUCAGCGCUCUGAGUAUUUUCUGAAAUAGUUUUUAAUAGGCAGCCCUAGACCACAGGUAGAAACCAGGCAGAUUGCAUGUGGCCCGUAGUGCUGACAAUAAACCCAAAAUAGAAAUAUUGUCCGUCUCCUUUGUAGAAGCCCAGUUUUUGGAGUUAUUUAAUCUCGCAGCUUCCAGAUGCGUGCUUCUGGCUGCUGGUAAAGCCCAAUCUGGCUUUCUAAAUUCAGAUGCUUUUCUUUUUAGCACAUACAGAGAUAGUUCAGGUAAACAAUCUGUACAAACACUGAAGUGUUCAGGCAACUGGUACAUAUGAUAGAGCCGCCUACAAGACUGUCCUAAAUGUCCAUUUUCUUAGUGACAGCACGAGCUUCUGAGCACUGCUGGCUGCAGACCACACGUGUGUAGCUCAGGGAUGUUUCUGCAGGCAUUAUUGGGGAGCAAAGCAGGGCUGCCCAAAGGCAGGACCUCCCUGCCAUUGAGCCUUUUCCUAUUGAGCCUCAAAGCUUUUCAUGGAAGAAACUCUGCCUCUGACGUGUCCCAACAAAUACCUGUUGCGUUUUGGGUGCUAAACAAGUAAGAACUAAUGACUGUACUGGAAAACCAGUGAGUGGAUUAAUGCUGCUGCUGUAAGCAACCAGGGCUGGUGGCUGGGGAGCAGCAGCAGGCUGCUUGGUUUGAGCGGCAGCUCCUGGUCAUUAAUACAGGGCUUUGAUCUCCGAAGUAAGAGAUUAUUCCCCCAUGGCCCUUUGGCGUGAGGAAGCGGUGAGAGAGUGACAGCAGUAAAAUGUGGCCGUUUGAGAGGCUCCUCCAGUGUUUUACUGAGAUUAGAUCUCCAAGAGGAGCUGUUAGAAGGAAGGGAAGAUGGAGUGGCAGGUUAUGUGACCGCUGUGACUCAUUAAUAUAACAAAAUUUAUGUCCGGAGUACUCGCACCACUGGUACAAACCAACUCCGAGGAGCUGAUUUCUGUCUUCUCCCGGUGCUGCCAUGAAAAGCCUCUGCGGGGAAUGUGCUGGCUCCUUUGGCAGCCUCCUGCAUUUGCUCUGACCCUCCAGCCCCAGGAGGUGGAGGUUUGGCUGUGCCACCGGGAUGGGCUCCGUGUUCUGUGCCUGCACAACCUCGGUUGUGAGCGGCACAACAGCUGGUUACAAAAAGCCAUCACAGGCAUGGGUGUCUGACAGCCUUUAAUCUCACUAGGGCAGGGCUUUGUUUGUUUGUUUCUUUUUGUCUUCGUGAAAUUUUCAGAGUAUUGAGACACGGCUGCUGAGAGGUGGUGAUGGAGAUGCUCGUUUUAUUGAAUUUCGACCCCUGUACCAAUAAAUCAUAACGCAAACUGAUGGGAAAAAUGAUCUUUCACCAGCAUUAGCACUGCCAGAAAACAAGUCAAUAGAGACCAGACCUUUUCACCCAAAGGUCCCCAGUCCAUGGCUGGGUCCUUGCCAGAAGUGACAGAUAAUCAUUGACACUGAGCAGCAGUUUUUCUCUCCAGGAAGGGUUUUUGACCUUUAUCUCUUUCCUGUUAAACAGAAGAUGAACGAAACGCAAACCACUGUGGCCUUGUGUCUAGCUCGGUGGCCUGGAGUCCACGAUGCUACUUCUUGCUAUCCAAAAAGGAGAGGUUUGAGCCUGCCCUGGCCAUGGGAUACUCAAGGCACAGCUGAGCCUGGCUCCCCCCACCUCGCCACACUGCU